RNAcentral lists this transfer RNA (75 nucleotides) under Acidimicrobiaceae bacterium. RNAcentral describes it as "tRNA-Asp". It matches the Rfam family "tRNA". From Rfam's summary of the family: Transfer RNA (tRNA) molecules are approximately 80 nucleotides in length. Their secondary structure includes four short double-helical elements and three loops (D, anti-codon, and T loops). Further hydrogen bonds mediate the characteristic L-shaped molecular structure. tRNAs have two regions of fundamental functional importance: the anti-codon, which is responsible for specific mRNA codon recognition, and the 3' end, to which the tRNAs corresponding amino acid is attached (by aminoacyl-tRNA synthetases). tRNAs cope with the degeneracy of the genetic code in two manners: having more than one tRNA (with a specific anti-codon) for a particular amino acid; and 'wobble' base-pairing, i.e. permitting non-standard base-pairing at the 3rd anti-codon position. The record is from RNAcentral. Lineage: Bacteria; Bacillati; Actinomycetota; Acidimicrobiia; Acidimicrobiales; Acidimicrobiaceae.
GGACCUGUGGUGCAGCCUGGAGUGCACGUCGGCCUGUCAAGCCGAAGGUCGCGGGUUCAAAUCCCGUCAGGUCCG